Long non-coding RNA from Myodes glareolus (Bank vole), 1072 nucleotides. RefSeq lists it as uncharacterized. NCBI's taxonomy places the organism in Eukaryota, Metazoa, Chordata, Mammalia, Rodentia, Cricetidae. The record is from RefSeq and is a predicted model, not a curated record.
CUUUGAAGUGAUGAUGGGAACUCAGCUCCAUCCUUCCCCUCUUUUCUCCGUAGACAUAGGGUGCCUCGCAUUCCUCAGCCUCGUGAUCCCGCCGUGAUGUGCUUGCUGCUUUGCUAUGGACACAGAAGGAAAAGAAUGGCAGACCAUGGCCUGAGAACUCCAGAGACAUGAGACAGAAUGAAUUGCUUCUCUUUCUAACUUAGAUUGUCUCGGAAGCUUUGUCACAAUGAUGAAAAGUUGGCCUACACAGAUGGAAACUUUCGAGUGAGGUUACAGGGCUCUUCCAAAGACCACACCCAGCCUGCAGUGGAGUUUUGAUCAUCUCGGGUGGCAUGCCCAGGAUGGCACGACAUCACAUGUGCCUCUCGUUCUCCACGGUCUCCGGGUUUUUUCCUAGGCUUUUAUCUGCUCGUGUAUACCAAAGGCAGAGGAGGUCAUGACUUCCAGCAGAAGACAUGGAGCAGAUGUGGAGGGGCUGAUGCAGGGGUAAAGUGAUGACAUCAGUGGAGACCAAAGCCACGGACAUUGCUCUGCAGGGAGGUCGCGGGCAGGUUUGAAGAACAAUGUCCCCGGGGCAAUGGAGAAAAAAGCUAUGCAAGGCCAGAGAGAAAGCCCUAGCUUCUGAUGCACUGUUCUUUGUAGCUGGGAUCUUCUGGCCUCUGAUGCUCUCUGUUGCUGUAACAAGAUUUUCAGCUCCAGCUCCAAUUUUACUUUAUUCGUGAAACCUGCUGUCUAAACUCUGCCAGCCGAGAGUGUUACCAUUUCUGACUAGCAAUGACAGCGCGUGCUUCCAGGAGGCCUUCACUAUUCAACCGCUGUCCCUUUGAGGGAAUCGUGUUGCCCGCUCCGCUCAUUACCUCAUAGAUUUCUGGGAAGUGUCCUCAGAAAGCCGUAUCCCACAAGGAGUACAUUGCAAGAGGUGCCUGUAAGUACAGGAGACCAACAGAAGCCCUACUAGCUUAGCUGCAGUGGAAGAAGACUUUGAAGGAAGUUUUACUGUGGACUAAGGAAGGACCUGAUUUUGAAACUUGAAAAUCCUCCAAUGACUCUGACCCCACAGGUAAGCUUCAAC